GCCUGGGUGGCUCAGUCGGUUGAGCAUCUGACUUUGACUCAGGUCAUCUCCCACUCAGGUC
RNAcentral lists this transfer RNA (61 nucleotides) under Felis catus (domestic cat). The record is from Rfam by way of RNAcentral. Lineage: Eukaryota; Metazoa; Chordata; Mammalia; Carnivora; Felidae.